GACGAACGCUGGCGGCGUGCCUAAUACAUGCGAGUCGAGCGCAGGAAACUGACGGAACUCUUCGGAGGGAAGGCAGCGGAAUGAGCGGCGGACGGGUGAGUAACACGUAAGGAACCUGCCUCAAGGAUUGGGAUAACUCCGAGAAAUCGGAGCUAAUACCGGAUAGUUCAUCGGACCGCAUGGUCCGCUGAUGAAAGGCGCUCCGGCGUCACCUUGAGAUGGCCUUGCGGUGCAUUAGCUAGUUGGUGGGGUAACGGCCCACCAAGGCGACGAUGCAUAGCCGACCUGAGAGGGUGAUCGGCCAAACUGGGACUGAGACACGGCCCAGACUCCUACGGGAGGCAGCAGUAGGGAAUCUUCCACAAUGGACGAAAGUCUGAUGGAGCAACGCCGCGUGAGUGAUGAAGGUUUUCGGAUCGUAAAGCUCUGUUGUAAGGGAAGAACACGUACGAGAGGGAAUGCUCGUACCUUGACGGUACCUUACGAGAAAGCCACGGCUAACUACGUGCCAGCAGCCGCAGUAA
RNAcentral lists this ribosomal RNA (524 nucleotides) under uncultured bacterium. RNAcentral's name for it is "partial 16S ribosomal RNA". It matches the Rfam family "Bacterial small subunit ribosomal RNA", at positions 28 to 523 of the family's 1533-position model. The record is from RNAcentral.